This is a long non-coding RNA of Diceros bicornis minor, 214 nucleotides long. RefSeq lists it as uncharacterized. The record is from RefSeq and is a predicted model, not a curated record. The transcript has 3 exons. NCBI's taxonomy places the organism in Eukaryota, Metazoa, Chordata, Mammalia, Perissodactyla, Rhinocerotidae.
GUUACUCCCAGAGGGUAUUGCCAGGGACACCGCUUGGUGCCCCGCCCGCCUCAGGGCAGCCUCACCCCGGCUUUCCUGCCUUGCGAUUCUGGGAUACCUGUUUGCCUUCUGCCUGACUUCUAAAGUUGGAGUUCCUCAAGACUUGGGCUCUCAAGUUGUCACAGGGGUCCACCUUCAAACUCAGCUGACUGUUGGUCAAAGGAAGGUCCUGGUC